GCACAUCCGCCAUUUCCGGUAGUGAGUCAGUCGCCCUGAGUUUAGCAAGCCGGCAGGUCCGGUAAUUUUAACUUAAAUCAUCUGGAAGAUUAUAAUGGCUGGGCCAUUUAUUUGUUGAGCUUCUGCUUUUAUAAGCUGUACAAGUGAGAUUUGAUAAUGAAUUCCGGUUAUGAUGAUUAUAGACCCGAUGCGGUUUCUGUAUGGAAUUAACAAUCCUCCUAAUAUGCCAUCGGGUCUUAUUGUUUAGCUCUGGCAAUGUGCUAUUGUUUAUCUGUGAUGUUGGACCUCCGGCGGCAUAAAUAUAUUUUAACGUAAGAUGA
Molecule: long non-coding RNA, 320 nt
Organism: Frankliniella occidentalis (western flower thrips)
Lineage: Eukaryota; Metazoa; Arthropoda; Insecta; Thysanoptera; Thripidae
Exons: 3
Source: RefSeq, a predicted model, not a curated record